UUUUUUGGAGGUGGUAAAUUCGACAAAGUCAUUAUUUGAAGGUGGUAAAAAUGAAAAUUUCCUUUUUCUUUUUCCCCCUGCUUUCCCUCUUCGUUCUGCUCUUCUCUUUCCCUCCCAUUUUCGCAUCUCCUGCUCUUCCUCCCAGCUUUCCCUCUCCGUUUUCGCAUCUCCCUGUGUUUUCGCAUCUCCUUCUGCACUCUAUUGAAGCAGCUCGCUCUUUCUCCAUUGAAUUGGUUACGCGCUUUCUCACUCCAUUGAAGCAGCACCUCCAUUGAACCAGCUCUGGCCUCCAUUGAACUCACUUCGAGUAAUUUUAGGGUUGUGGUAAUAUAGGGUUUGUCAUUGAAGCGCGCACGGCUACAUCUUUACCCUAACGGCCUCCUUGUCACGGCUACACCUCCACCGAUUCUGAGCUUUCUCACCUCCAUUGAACCAGCUUCGAGGAGCAUGAAGUUGCCUCGCCGUCCACAUCAUAUUUUGAGAAAGUUAUCCGGGUAUGAUCCAUGUACCGAAAAGUAUGCUGAAAAAUACUACAAUAGGCCAGACGUGCAGAAUGGGAAGGCUCUCCACGCUAAUACCACUAAAAUUCCGUAUAAGUGGACUGCCUGCAGGAGAAAGUUGUGUUAAUCUGAUGGUAUAAUCAGGAGAAAAUUCAAAUGAAGUUGAUGGUAAUAUUACAUUAUCUGUUUUUUGAUGAGAAGGUUUGGACUUAGUAGAGAGCGGAGAAUGUUAUAGAUAGGCGGACUAGGUUUAGACUAUAUAUGUUCGGAUGUUCUGCAAAGCAUUGUUGUUUUAACGGAGUUUGAUCUGUAUUGAUAAUGUGUUCUCCUUGGCCCUAAACUAAUUUUUAAUCUUAAGAAAAUGCGACAUGAUCUGUUUCUGUGCAUUACAGCAAGUUUUCGAUUUCUUCUAUUACUUUCUUGCCUCAUGGAGAGUUGACAGUUAAUUUUGUGUAUCAAGUAAUCCUCCUGUAGUUACUGUCAUACGGAGUACAUCUUUUCCUUCGCUUGCAUACAGAGAAUUCCCACAUAUAUGAGGCUGAUGAGGAGCAUGGUUAAAAUCUACUAGUAGGAAGCUAAGGAUUAGCUCGACUUCAAAAUUUCUCCCGGUUAAAACCAGGGUGGUGAGACUGGUGACUGGCGAGGUUAUACAACUCCAUUAGCUCAGGGUCCCUGAUAAGUUUAAGGCGGCCCUGAACUUAGAGUGUGACAGCGACCAAUUAACUACAUGCAUUUAUUUUGUAACUAUAUUACUGUAUAUAAUCUUGCUUUUAAUUCUUACAUUACUUGUCCAUGAUUCAUGAUUGUAUAUAUAUUAAUCUAAAACUUGUAUGUACUGUCAUACAAAUCUCAAGUCAAACUUCUCUUUCUUUUAAUUAUUUAAGAUCAUUUGGGGAAGAACAGAAAGAAGAAUGGAGGUUCAUCUUCCUAAUUUUCCAAAAGAUUUUAAUGCGUCAGAUUUUAUCCCUAAUCUUUACUCUGCAAAAACCAUUUUGGGUAUUUUUGCUGCUGCUUCAAUUGCUGUUUUCUGCUUCACAUGGAUUCUCUCAGGUAUUAUUUUUUUUCUACUCGAUUUACUCUGUUUAUAUUCUAGCAUCACGCCUCCUUAGAUAAAAUUUUGGUUCAUAUAGCCGACUAUCAUUGGGAUUAAGGUUCUACUUCUUGUUAUUGAUUUACUCCUUCAAUAUAUAGUAAUUACUUCAAAUGAUUUAAUCUUUGUUGAUGGGUUAUUUGUUUUGUUAUCUAAUAAGGGGAACAAGUGUAAAAAGGAAACAAUCGAAUGUGAAACAUAGUAAAAACUCCGUAACAUAAACGAAUGGAUAUAGUAGUUGUUAUUGUUGAUUGAUCUAACAAGUAACAACAUGUCUGUAAUUCUACAAGGACAAGACUGGAUCCAUUUUCGCCGAAUUAUGUAAUUCUCUUGCUCAUAUCAAUUAAUUCAACUCCUUCAGUUAGUUUAAAGGGUGAUUAUUCUCACUUCACUAUAAUUCGACGACAUUACCUUUUUUUUUCUUUUCGAUUUGCUAAUAUUUUUGAUUUUAUAGGGAAAGAGUACAGCAAGGGUGAUUCCAGAUAUUUGUCUCUUGAUUCAACAACAAUAGCUCUUGAAGCAAUUUCAAUCUUCGUAUUUGGUCCAACCAACCUAUUAGCUGCGUUACCAGCAUUAAGAUUGUUCCACAGGAUGAAAGUUCAGUUAUAGCCGGAUCUGCAGACAAGGUACAGAAAGGAGGACGAGCAAAGAACUUAAUGAAGUUCGAAACAUGUUGGCGUCUUUCUUCACAUUUACUUUAAUUUAAACUUGUUAACUACAUUAAUAAUUAGUAUUGUUUGUACAUAUGACACUUUUUUUUUUUUACAAGGAGUUGUAAAUAUAUGGCACUUCAUUGUAUUGCAUUUGUGA
Molecule: long non-coding RNA, 2400 nt
Organism: Chenopodium quinoa (quinoa)
Lineage: Eukaryota; Viridiplantae; Streptophyta; Magnoliopsida; Caryophyllales; Amaranthaceae
Exons: 6
Source: RefSeq, a predicted model, not a curated record